This 84-nucleotide non-coding RNA is filed under the name uncultured Tubulinea. Lineage: Eukaryota; Tubulinea. The record is from RNAcentral.
CUAUGCUGUUACACUGUCUGAUUCUAAACAUUCACUUAAAGCCCUUGCUUGGCCGUCUCUGAACUCUAAAAUUGCACAGAUGCA